AGAGUUUGAUCCUGGCUCAGAAUGAACGCUGGCGGCGUGCUUAACACAUGCAAGUCGUACGAGAACACUCUAGCUUGCUAGGGUAAGUAAAGUAGCGCACGGGUGAGUAACGCGUGGGUAAUCUACCUUCGAAUUGGGGAUAACGUUGCGAAAGCGACGCUAAUACCGAAUAACAUCCAUUAAUCUUCGGGUUUUUGGAUCAAGGGUGGCCUCUACAUGUAAGCUACUGUUUGAAGAUGAGCCCGCGUACCAUUAGCUUGUUGGUGGGGUAAUGGCCUACCAAGGCAGCGAUGGUUAGCUGGUCUGAGAGGAUGAUCAGCCACACUGGAACUGACACACGGUCCAGACUCCUACGGGAGGCAGCAGUGAGGAAUUUUGCGCAAUGGGGGAAACCCUGACGCAGCAACGCCGCGUGAGUGAUGAAGGCUUUCGGGUCGUAAAGCUCUGUCAAGUGGGAAGAACCUGCAGUAUGCUAAUAUCAUAUUGCACUGACGGUACCACUGAAGGAAGCACCGGCUAACUCCGUGCCAGCAGCCGCGGUAAUACGGGGGGUGCAAGCGUUAUUCGGAAUCAUUGGGCGUAAAGAGCACGUAGGCGGCCUGGUAAGUCAGAUGUGAAAGCCCGGGGCUUAACCCCGGAAGUGCAUUUGAUACUGUCAGGCUUGAGUAUGGGAGAGGGAAGUGGAAUUCCUGGUGUAGAGGUGCAAUUCGUAGAUAUCAGGAGGAACACCGGUGGCGAAGGCGACUUCCUGGACCAAUACUGACGCUGAGGUGCGAAGGCGUGGGUAGCAAACAGGAUUAGAUACCCUGGUAGUCCACGCAGUAAACGUUGUUCACUAGGUGUAGCGGGUAUUGACCCCUGCUGUGCCGCAGUUAACGCAUUAAGUGAACCGCCUGGGGAGUACGGCCGCAAGGUUAAAACUCAAAGGAAUUGACGGGGGCCCGCGCAAGCGGUGGAGCAUGUGGUUUAAUUCGACGCAACGCGAAGAACCUUACCUGGAUUUGACAUCCCGGGAAUCCUAUCGAAAGACUGGAGUGCCCUUCGGGGAGCCCGGAGACAGGUGCUGCAUGGCUGUCGUCAGCUCGUGUCGUGAGAUGUUGGGUUAAGUCCCGCAACGAGCGCAACCCUUGUCUUUAGUUACCAUCAUUCAGUUGGGGACUCUAAAGAUACUGCCCCGGUCAACGGGGAGGAAGGUGGGGAUGACGUCAAGUCC
Molecule: ribosomal RNA, 1213 nt
Filed under: metagenome
Description: bacterial SSU rRNA
Rfam family: Bacterial small subunit ribosomal RNA
Source: RNAcentral